GGCCCAGCUGGCACAGGCAAAACUGAGACCACCAAAGACCUGGGUAAGGCCUUGGCCAUACAGACCAUUGUGUUCAACUGCUCUGACCAGCUCGACUUCUUGGCCAUGGGCAAGUUCUUCAAGGGCCUGGCCAGGUGGAACGCUUCAUGUUUGAGGGUGUGGAGAUCCCACUGGUGCCAUCCUGCGCAGUGUUUAUCACCAUGAACCCGGGCUACGCUGGCCG
RNAcentral lists this small RNA (223 nucleotides) under Pan troglodytes (chimpanzee). Its description in RNAcentral is "processed transcript". Lineage: Eukaryota; Metazoa; Chordata; Mammalia; Primates; Hominidae. The record is from RNAcentral.